GAUGAACGCUGGCGGCGUGCCUAAUACAUGCAAGUCGAGCGAACAGAUGAGGAGCUUGCUCCUCUGACUUUAGCGGCGGACGGGUGAGUAACACGUGGAUAACCUACCUAUAAGACUGGGAUAACUUCGGGACACCGGAGCUAAUACCGGAUAAUAUAUUGAACCGCAUGGUUCAAUAGUAAAAUACGGUUUUGCUGUCACUUAUAGAUGGAUCCGCGCCGCAUUAGCUAGUUGGUAAGGUAACGGCUUACCAAGGCAACGAUGCGUAGCCGACCUGAGAGGGUGACCGGCAACAUUGGAACUGAGACCCGGUCCAGACUCCUACGGGAGGCAGCAGUAGGGAACCUUCCGCAAUGGGCGAAAGCCUGACGGAGCAACGCGGCGUGAGUGAUGAAGGUCUUCGGAUCGUAAAACUCUGUUAUUAGGGAAGAACAAAUGUGUACGUAAAUAUGCACGUCUUGACGGUACCUAAUCAGAAAGCCACGGCUAACUACGUG
This 497-nucleotide ribosomal RNA is filed under the name uncultured bacterium. RNAcentral's name for it is "partial 16S ribosomal RNA". It matches the Rfam family "Bacterial small subunit ribosomal RNA", at positions 28 to 507 of the family's 1533-position model. The record is from RNAcentral.